This 272-nucleotide ribosomal RNA is filed under the name uncultured bacterium. RNAcentral describes it as "partial 16S ribosomal RNA". It matches the Rfam family "Bacterial small subunit ribosomal RNA", at positions 524 to 794 of the family's 1533-position model. The record is from RNAcentral.
UACGGAGGGUGCGAGCGUUAAUCGGAAUUACUGGGCGUAAAGGGCGCGUAGGCGGCUGAUCAAGUCAGGUGUGAAAGCCCACGGCUUAACCGUGUGAAGUGCAUCUGAAACUGGUCGGCUUGAGUAUCGGAGAGGAAAGUGGAAUUCCCGGUGUAGAGGUGAAAUGCGUAGAUAUAGGAAGGAACACCAGUGGCGAAGGCGAGUCUCUGGACAUUUCCUGACACUGAGGCACGAAAGCCAGGGGAGCAAACGGGAUUAGAUACCCCUGUAGU